This is a regulatory RNA element of Clostridium baratii str. Sullivan, 176 nucleotides long. It matches the Rfam family "Lysine riboswitch aptamer". Rfam says of the family: Riboswitches are metabolite binding domains within certain messenger RNAs that serve as precision sensors for their corresponding targets. Allosteric rearrangement of mRNA structure is mediated by ligand binding, and this results in modulation of gene expression. Lineage: Bacteria; Bacillati; Bacillota; Clostridia; Eubacteriales; Clostridiaceae. The record is from Rfam.
AUUUGAGGUAGAGGUGCAAAUUUUAAGAGUAAUAUUAAUGAGGUAAGCACAAUGAUUUAAUAUGAAAGGAAAAUUUGCCGAAGUGUAUAACUAAUGCUUUAAGGUUAUAUUGCUGGUCUUACAUAUAAUAUGUGUAAGAUUGUCACAAAGUUUUUUUGUGGAGAGCUAUCAUUCGA